AGUCAAUAGAUACCCAGGUAGUCCACGCCGUAAACGAUGUCGACUUGGAGGUUGUGCCCUUGAGGCGUGGCUUCCGGAGCUAAACGCGUUAAGUCGACCGCCUGGGGAGUACGGCCGCAAGGUUAAAACUCAAAUGAAUUGACGGGGGCCCGCACAAGCGGUGGAGCAUGUGGUUUAAUUCGAUGCAACGCGAAGAACCUUACCUACUCUUGACAUCCAGAGAACUUAGCAGAGAUGCUUUGGUGCCUUCGGGAACUCUGAGACAGGUGCUGCAUGGCUGUCGUCAGCUCGUGUUGUGAAAUGUUGGGUUAAGUCCCGCAACGAGCGCAACCCUUAUCCUUUGUUGCCAGCGGUUAGGCCGGGAACUCAAAGGAGACUGCCAGUGAUAAACUGGAGGAAGGUGGGGAUGACGUCAAGUCAUCAUGGCCCUUACGAGUAGGGCUACACACGUGCUACAAUGGCGCAUACAAAGAGAAGCGACCUCGCGAGAGCAAGCGGACCUCAUAAAGUGCGUCGUAGUCCGGAUUGGA
RNAcentral lists this ribosomal RNA (530 nucleotides) under uncultured bacterium. RNAcentral's name for it is "bacterial SSU rRNA". It matches the Rfam family "Bacterial small subunit ribosomal RNA", at positions 775 to 1302 of the family's 1533-position model. The record is from RNAcentral.